Molecule: ribosomal RNA, 728 nt
Filed under: Ladislavia taczanowskii (Tachanovsky's gudgeon)
Lineage: Eukaryota; Metazoa; Chordata; Actinopteri; Cypriniformes; Gobionidae
Description: partial small subunit ribosomal RNA
Rfam family: Bacterial small subunit ribosomal RNA
Source: RNAcentral
CACCGCGGUUAAACGAGAGGCCCUAGUUGAUAAUACUACGGCGUAAGGGUGGUUACGGAGAGUACAGCGAUAAAGCCUAAUGGCCCUUUGGCCGUCAUACGCUUCUAGGAGUCCGAAGCCCUAUCACACGAAAGUAGCUUUAAUAAAACCCACCUGACCCCACGAAAGCUGAGAAACAAACUGGGAUUAGAUACCCCACUAUGCUCAGCCAUAAACCUAGACGUCCACCUACGAUUAGACGUCCGCCUGGGUACUACGAGCAUCAGCUUGAAACCCAAAGGACCUGACGGUGUCUUAGACCCCCCUAGAGGAGCCUGUUCUAGAACCGAUAACCCCCGUUAAACCUCACCACUUCUAGCCACCCCAGCCUAUAUACCGCCGUCGCCAGCUUACCCUGUGAAGGCAAUAAAAGUAAGCAGAAUGGGCACAACCCAGAACGUCAGGUCGAGGUGUAGCGUACGAAGCGGGAAGAAAUGGGCUACAUUUUCUAUAAUAGAAUACUACGGACACGUAACAUGAAAUAGUGCUUGAAGGAGGAUUUAGAAGUAAAAAGGAAGCAGAGUGUCCUUUUGAACCCGGCUCUAAGACGCGUACACACCGCCCGUCACUCUCCCCUGUCGAAAUGUUAUAAGAGUAAUUAACACCUGAACACAGACAAGGGGAGGCAAGUCGUAACAUGGUAAGUGUACCGGAAGGUGCACUUGGAUAAAACUCAGGGUGUGGCUGAG